UGGGGAAUAUUGCACAAUGGGCGAAAGCCUGAUGCAGCAACGCCGCGUGAAGGAUGAAGUAUUUCGGUAUGUAAACUUCUAUCAGCAGGGAAGAUAACGACGGUACCUGACUAAGAAGCCCCGGCUAACUACGUGCC
This 137-nucleotide ribosomal RNA is filed under the name uncultured bacterium. RNAcentral describes it as "partial 16S ribosomal RNA". It matches the Rfam family "Bacterial small subunit ribosomal RNA", at positions 355 to 509 of the family's 1533-position model. The record is from RNAcentral.